RNAcentral lists this transfer RNA (383 nucleotides) under Nitrosomonas sp. OZK11. RNAcentral's name for it is "partial 16S-23S ribosomal RNA intergenic spacer". The stretch from base 93 to 166 matches the Rfam family "tRNA". The record is from RNAcentral. Lineage: Bacteria; Pseudomonadati; Pseudomonadota; Betaproteobacteria; Nitrosomonadales; Nitrosomonadaceae.
AUAUAUUGUUGCUAAGUGUUCACACUUAUUGGUUCUUUGUAAGAAAAAUACGAAUUUGGGUUUAAGGGUGUAGGAAAUACUUUGACUCGAAAGGGUCUGUAGCUCAGUUGGUUAGAGCACACGCUUGAUAAGCGUGGGGUCGGUGGUUCAAAUCCACCCAGACCCACCAAUAGGGGGUGUAGCUCAGCUGGGAGAGCACCUGCUUUGCAAGCAGGGGGUCAUCGGUUCGAUCCCGUUCACCUCCACCAUUUAAAUCAUAGAUUUUAAAAUUCGGUUUUUUGUUCUUUAAAAAAUAAAUAGAAAUUGGGUAAGAUUGUGUUUUUAAAAAAACACAUAAUCUAUAUUAAUAAGAAUUAAUUUUUAUUAAGUUUUCAAGAUUAUAG